This 552-nucleotide ribosomal RNA is filed under the name Velia sp. 942. Its description in RNAcentral is "eukaryotic LSU rRNA". It matches the Rfam family "Eukaryotic large subunit ribosomal RNA", at positions 648 to 1161 of the family's 3401-position model. The record is from RNAcentral. Lineage: Eukaryota; Metazoa; Arthropoda; Insecta; Hemiptera; Veliidae.
CCCGUCUUGAAACACGGACCAAGGAGUCCAACGUGUGCGCGAGUCGUUGGGCGAUUAAACCCAAUGGCGUAAUUAAGGUGAAGGGAAGUAUUCUUUCCCAGGGAGGAGGGAGGUCCGUCCUAGUGGCGGCCUCUCGCACUCCCGGGGCGUCUCUGGCUCAUCGCGAGCGGAGGCGCACCUAGAGCGUUCACGUUGGGACCCGAAAGAUGGUGAACUAUGCCUGGCCAGGACGAAGCCAGGGGAAACCCUGGUGGAGGUCCGUAGCGGUUCUGACGUGCAAAUCGAUCGUCGGAGCUGGGUAUAGGGGCGAAAGACUAAUCGAACCAUCUAGUAGCUGGUUCCCUCCGAAGUUUCCCUCAGGAUAGCUGGCGCCCAAGUGAGACGAGUCUCAUCUGGUAAAGCGAAUGAUUAGAGGCCUUGGGGUCGAAACGACCUCAACCUAUUCUCAAACUUUAAAUGGAUGAGAACCCCGGCUUGCUUGAUCGAGUGAAGUCGGGGCUCGGAUCCGGGUGCCAAGUGGGCCAAUUUUGGUAAGCAGAACUGGCGCUGUGG